AGAUUGUUUGGUGAAAUAUUGAGAAUUUGUUUUUCACGACCCUCUGCAAGCACCCUCAUAAUGUUUUGGAAUGCGACAUGUGAGGCAAAACUUUUGUUGCCUAUUUGUUGUUAAUUUUCUUCGUGUCUAAAAAUUUUCAUCUUGAAGAGUUUUUAGUUUAUACCUGAAUUGGUGGGCAGUGGCUAACAGCAAGAGCAAUUACUACUAGCUAAUACUACAAGUCAGGAAUGACAAAGAAAAACUCUUAAGAUGAGUGAAGAAACUUAAAAAUUUAUUAUCUUAAUUUUUAAGCCUUCCUCACCCAUCAUUCAAAUUUUUCAUUCACUCCCUUACCCCAUUUCCAGCUAUCGAGUCCACCAUAUGAGUAACUAAAUUUCAAUGUUAGUACCUCUUUGAUACCUGUCUCUAAAAUCUCUCACUCCUCCUGAGUGCUUGGAAAUUGAGGAACUGACAAAAAGUGUUCUUCGAUUCGUCUCUCCAUGAUGCAUCAUCUAAAUGAAGGAGAAGUGAUGAUUUUAAAUCUAAAGGGGUAUCCUCUGGAACUUCAGUAACCAGUGAAAAACUGCAGCAUCAAAUAGUUGGCGUUGCUUAGAUGACAGUAGAAGCUUCAGGAUAAUUAAUGAGCCUCCUGCUCGGUGAAUGAUGAUCAUUUUUUGUCUGUCUCCAGCACCAUUUGCAAUAAAUGUCUGCUUUGAUUUCUAAAGGAAUCUUGAUUCGCUCCUUUUCUUCUCUUCUUAGAUGAGAGAAUACGCAGCACAAUGUUCAGACACCUUUAUGACGCAGUUCCAUGUGGGGGUUACAAGUACUGUCUCAUAUUUUGUAGUUUUACUAAUGGUUUUAAUGUUUGUUUUUAGGUUGUCGGAAAAUCGGAAGCUACAUUUCGUUCGUGCGUUAAUUAUUCGCUUGGUUUUUGUCUGUUUUGCUAACUUAAUAAAUUGGAAGAUGCAAAUAUCCAGUUGGACGUGAAUAUUAAGUACAUUCCAAUGCGUGGGAGGAGGACAAGCUGGGGCCGUGGGCAUGUAGAACCACCCACCGAAAUAAUUGCUCCACAACCUGCACAGUAACCUCCACUGCAGCCUCUACCACAACCUCCACUGCAACCAGCACCUGCAUCGAUUCCUCCACAGGAGCCAUGAUGUCUGGGAGAAAUAACAAUCAGUUCCAAAGAGGAGCCGCCAUCCGCAGACACAUUGAGAACUGGAAAGUGAAAGUAUUUACAACAUCGGAACUUGGCAACCAUAAAAAUACAGAUUUUAUCACUAUUUUAUCAGAUGAAUAAAGGAAAGAAGGGCACAGUAAUUAAUUUCAAGGUGUAAUUGUUUCGAUCCAAUGUUUGUGUGGAUGUUUGAUGGGUUGCAGAAACACAGAAUUUUCAGAGGACAAUAGACCAAUUGCAAGUCUCUGAUAGCGUAUCUUCUAGAUGAACCAAGCUCAAAUUGGUUGUAUCAAAAAGAGAAAAAAGUCAUCACAAGAAGGAAUGUAAUUUUCUAGGUGUAUUUUCAGGGCUGAUCUCGAAAAUUACGUUGGGUUUUCCGGAUCCUCACGGUAUGCUUGGAAAAAUCAAAUUUUGCAUGUACUCGAAAAAAAAUCGCAGUUUACCUCAGGAAAUUCAGUUGUUUGGGAACUGAGUAAAUAAUACAGGACAGGGGAAAGGAAAGGAGAGCCAAUUAUCGCAUCAACCUGAGUGGAUCACUUAUCAUUUUGUUACCAUCUAAAUUUAUGUUGAAUUGUGUGAUUCUCGGAUGUGACAUAUGUGUCUUCUUUUCUUUUCCCCAAUUGGAUGUAGGUGAUUGUCAAAUGCACCUUUUCAAAAUCAUUGCGAAAAGCCCACCUAGAAUCAGUGACAAAUUUUAGGCGAACCGAAGUGUCUGUCGACCAGUAGCCUGAUUAUUGAUGCUCAUGUUAGCACAAAAAGACUUACAAAAUCGAUCAGAUAAAGGAUUAUCAUUUGUUAGCCUGGCGACAAAGCCUGAUAAAGCUUUAACAAUCAGGCUGUAGUGUCUCAUGGUUGCUUGAAUGGAUUUAGGCGAGAAUUACAUUUUUGCCGGUAAAUAAAGAGCAAAGAGGAGACUUGGAUAUCAGAAGUGACAACAAAUUUAUUAAGGAUAUUUUUGGUAAACAGGCAUUAGUGCCAUUAAGCCCAUUUUCAGGAGUACAAGAUUUCUGAAUCCUUGUAAGAUGGUGUAUCCAAUAAAAUGAAUGUAGCUUAUACAUGUUUCUGUACAAUAGAAAUGAACUAAAGAUCAUAGAGAGAGAAUGGAAUGCGAAUUUUGCAAAGUUUUCAUGUUUAUCGGGGAACAUAUAACCCUGAUCCACUGUAUAGUUGUCAUCUCUACCCCUGCAUCAUCCAUGCGUUGGUAACUAAUGGACAAAGACUUCAGUACUCUAAUUUUUCUGUUUAAAAUGAGAAAGGCGACAUGUUUUUAGUGACAAACCCACCCCUCUCAAUUACCAUUCAUGUUGAAAAAAAAAACUUAAAUAAUAAGGAACAUAUCAUCUCAGCAGCAGAAAGUCUCUUGCCAAUAAAAGAACUUGUGCAUGUUUUCAAACAAAACACAAAAUAAAAAAAAACAAAGAAAAAAAAUAUGUUAGAAACCUGCACAGGGCAGCCAUCUGCUAUUUUCCACACCCCUUUUAAAAGGUUCAGCAAGUCACAAAGGAAUUAAAGUUUAGGGGCAGUUUAACUAAUGGAGGAAGUACAUGGUGUUCAAUCCUCAAUUAGGGAUUUUCUCCAAAAUAGAAUUUUCGGUAUAGAAUCUUUUACUGUCGAAAACUCAAUGCUGAGGUUCAAAUUGAAACAAACUCUACUCCUUAGGUGCUCGUUAUGUUAUCACAAGCCUGUACCAUUGAAUAGAAAAGCAUGAUGAUAUGAUAUAGUUAUGUUUACAAUGAAAUAUCAUCAUUGAUUGAAGUUUACUGUUUUUCAAAUUCGUGAUUUCAAAAUCACUCUUAUGUUCUGAACUGUACGAAAUUCCCUGAUUUGUUACCUUGGACGUUUUUUUUUCAAUCACAGAUGCAGUAGAUUAAACGGGAUGGCGGCUCUUCCUGCGUUGUUACCUUGGACUUUUUUUUUCAUUCACUGAUGCAGUAGAUUAAACGGGAUGGCGGCUCUUCCUGUGACGAGCCUGACAACUAAAUGUUUGAAGCAGGCAGCCUAGAACACAUGUCUUGAAAGAAAAUGCCAACUAUUUUCGUUCCUCAAUGAUUACUUUUAGAUGGAAUUGACGCUGCGCAAAAUUGUUUUACUUCUCUCUUACUGCCCUUUUUAAACAACAUAUUUUUUUUUUUAAAUUUAAUGGUCAUUUUGUUUACUUGCUAAUUUUAAUAUUCAGUUAUUAGUGUUUGAAUGCGUCAGUGAGUUGCUAGUGUAACACUGAUUUUUGUUCCUAUUUUCGAAAACUUGAAUAAAUUUCAUGCGCUCAUGUAAA
This is a non-coding RNA of Bemisia tabaci, 3428 nucleotides long. The record is from RefSeq and is a predicted model, not a curated record. Lineage: Eukaryota; Metazoa; Arthropoda; Insecta; Hemiptera; Aleyrodidae.